ACUGGUCCUCGGUGGUGGCUUACGGAUGAUUGCCGUGGGCUUCGAUCGAAGAUCCAU
This 57-nucleotide non-coding RNA is filed under the name unclassified sequences. The record is from Rfam.